This 773-nucleotide long non-coding RNA is filed under the name Heterocephalus glaber (naked mole-rat). RNAcentral's name for it is "lncRNA (ENSHGLG00000046484.1)". Lineage: Eukaryota; Metazoa; Chordata; Mammalia; Rodentia; Bathyergidae. The record is from RNAcentral.
UGCCCUGCAGGGCAGGACAGUAAAUGAAUUGAACCUUGCCAGGAGGGGACGACGGCUGAUUCCCGGGGGUCACCUUAUACUCGGUGUGGGCGCAGCUCGAGUUGCGGCUCCAACAAGAGCAGAAAUGUAGAGCUAGAGGUGGGUCCAUCAGCAGGCCACCAUCAGUCCCCUGUGCAACAUGUGCAGUGAGAAACAACUGGUGUAUAGCACAGUGUGUACCUCAGAACCUCAGGUGGGAAGCGGGACAGAAAGCUGGAGGCCGAGUGAGGAGACCCAGAUCCCGGGCCUCCACCCCAAAGGCCCAUGCAAUUUGGCUCACACCCCACCCUGCACACCCACUGCUACCACACUGCUGAGGCACAGUGAGGCUUCCACACCAGUGUGGUGCCAGGCCUCUGAAGGGUGGGCUGUGCCUCCUGCACCCACGAGUCUGCUGACAUCACCCCAGCAACCUGUGGCGCUCCCCACAUCCCAGCCAUCGAAGGACGGAGCAGGGUUAAGGAUCAGCACCAAUGCAUCCCAACGUCCCUUAAGGGCAGUUUUCUGCAGCAAAGGACAUGGGAAAUGUGAGAGCCACAGUAGAGGCAGCUCAGUUACAACUGGUUUUUGCAAGAGGAUGCAGAGGGUUAGUGAGUGUGUUCUUCCCCUCGUCUUGCAUGUGCUAGAGGGAGUGGGAACAUUCACCUUGUUGUCCAGUGACUCAGGGCCAGUUUUCCUUAGAUAGCUCUAUGGGCUGGGGAGCACUGUAUAGCUCAGAUUUAGCACUUCAAAGC